Molecule: ribosomal RNA, 416 nt
Filed under: uncultured Brevundimonas sp.
Lineage: Bacteria; Pseudomonadati; Pseudomonadota; Alphaproteobacteria; Caulobacterales; Caulobacteraceae
Description: bacterial SSU rRNA
Rfam family: Bacterial small subunit ribosomal RNA
Source: RNAcentral
CAGCAGUGGGGAAUCUUGCGCAAUGGGCGAAAGCCUGACGCAGCCAUGCCGCGUGUAUGAUGAAGGUCUUAGGAUUGUAAAAUACUUUCACCGGUGAAGAUAAUGACUGUAGCCGGAGAAGAAGCCCCGGCUAACUUCGUGCCAGCAGCCGCGGUAAUACGAAGGGGGCUAGCGUUGCUCGGAAUUACUGGGCGUAAAGGGAGCGUAGGCGGACAUUUAAGUCAGAGGUGAAAUCCCGGAGCUUAACUUCGGAACUGCCUUUGAUACUGGGUGUCUUGAGUGUGAGAGAGGUAUGUGGAACUCCGAGUGUAGAGGUGAAAUUCGUAGAUAUUCGGAAGAACACCAGUGGCGAAGGCGACAUACUGGCUCAUUACUGACGCUGAGGCUCGAAAGCGUGGGGAGCAAACAGGAUUAGA